GACGAACGCUGGCGGCGUGCUUAACACAUGCAAGUCGAACGGAAAGGCCCUGCUUUUGUGGGGUGCUCGAGUGGCGAACGGGUGAGUAACACGUGAGUAACCUGCCCUUGACUUUGGGAUAACUUCAGGAAACUGGGGCUAAUACCGGAUAGGAGCUCCUGCUGCAUGGUGGGGGUUGGAAAGUUUCGGCGGUUGGGGAUGGACUCGCGGCUUAUCAGCUUGUUGGUGGGGUAGUGGCUUACCAAGGCUUUGACGGGUAGCCGGCCUGAGAGGGUGACCGGCCACGUUGGGACUGGGAUACAGCCCCGACUCCUACGGGAGGCAGCAGUGGGGAAUUUUGCACAAUGGGCGGAAGCCUGAUGCAGCAACGCCGCGUGCGGGAUGACGGCCUUCGGGUUGUAAACCGCUUUCGCCUGUGACGAAGCGUGAGUGACGGUAAUGGGUAAAGAAGCACCGGCUAACUACGUG
RNAcentral lists this ribosomal RNA (468 nucleotides) under uncultured bacterium. RNAcentral describes it as "partial 16S ribosomal RNA". It matches the Rfam family "Bacterial small subunit ribosomal RNA", at positions 28 to 507 of the family's 1533-position model. The record is from RNAcentral.